This 253-nucleotide ribosomal RNA is filed under the name uncultured bacterium. Its description in RNAcentral is "partial 16S ribosomal RNA". It matches the Rfam family "Bacterial small subunit ribosomal RNA", at positions 524 to 776 of the family's 1533-position model. The record is from RNAcentral.
UACGUAGGGGGCAAGCGUUGUCCGGAAUCAUUGGGCGUAAAGAGCGCGUAGGCGGUCCAGUAAGUCCGCUCUGAAAGUCCGGGGCUCAACCCCGGGAGGCGGGCGGAUACUGCUGGACUAGAGUCCGGAAGAGGCGAGUGGAAUUCCUGGUGUAGCGGUGAAAUGCGCAGAUAUCAGGAAGAACACCCGUGGCUAAGGCGGCUCUCUAGUACGGUACUGACGCUGAGACGCGAAAGCGUGGGGAGCGAACAGG